CAAAGGAGGCGACUCCGGAGACGGAUGGGCAUGCGUGACAUUAGCUUGUUGGCGGGGUAACGGCCCACCAAGGCGACGAUGUCUAGGGGUUCUGAGAGGAAGGUCCCCCACACUGGUACUGAGACACGGACCAGACUCCUACGGGAGGCAGCAGUGAGGAAUAUUGGUCAAUGGGCGAGAGCCUGAACCAGCCAAGUCGCGUGAAGGAUGACGGCCCUACGGGUUGUAAACUUCUUUUGUCAGGGAGCAAUUGAGUCCACGUGUGGGCUUAGCGAGAGUACCUGAAGAAAAAGCAUCGGCUAACUCCGUGCCAGCAGCCGCGGUAAUACGGAGGAUGCGAGCGUUAUCCGGAUUUAUUGGGUUUAAAGGGUGCGUAGGCGGAAUAUCAAGUCAGCGGUAAAAAUUCGGGGCUCAACCCCGUCGUGCCGUUGAAACUGAUGUUCUUGAGUGGGCGAGAAGUAUGCGGAAUGCGUGGUGUAGCGGUGAAAUGCAUAGAUAUCACGCAGAACUCCGAUUGCGAAGGCAGCAUACCGGCGCCCAACUGACGCUGAAGCACGAAAGCGUGGGUAUCGAACAGGAUUAGAUACCCUGGUAGUCCACGCAGUAAACGAUGAAUGCUAAUUGUCC
This 627-nucleotide ribosomal RNA is filed under the name uncultured bacterium. RNAcentral describes it as "bacterial SSU rRNA". It matches the Rfam family "Bacterial small subunit ribosomal RNA", at positions 202 to 825 of the family's 1533-position model. The record is from RNAcentral.